AAGACUAUAGACCUGCGGAGUACCUGCGGAGGGAUCAUUACUGAGUGAGGGCCCUCUGGGUCCAACCUCCCACCCGUGUUUAUUGUACCUUGUUGCUUCGGCGAGCCCGCCUCACGGCCGCCGGGGGGCAUUUGCCCCCGGGCCCGCGCCCGCCGAAGACAUCAUUGAACUCUGUCUGAAGAUUGCAGUCUGAGUAGAUUAGCUAAAUCAGUUAAAACUUUCAACAACGGAUCUCUAGAU
Molecule: unclassified non-coding RNA, 240 nt
Filed under: soil metagenome
Description: partial contains 5.8S ribosomal RNA, internal transcribed spacer 2, and large subunit ribosomal RNA
Source: RNAcentral